RNAcentral lists this ribosomal RNA (253 nucleotides) under uncultured bacterium. RNAcentral describes it as "partial 16S ribosomal RNA". It matches the Rfam family "Bacterial small subunit ribosomal RNA", at positions 524 to 776 of the family's 1533-position model. The record is from RNAcentral.
UACGUAGGGACCAAGCGUUGUUCGGAUUUACUGGGCGUAAAGGGCGCGUAGGCGGCUUAACAAGUCACUUGUGAAAUCUCCGGGCUUAACCCAGAACGGCCAAGUGAAACUGUCGUGCUAGAGUGCGGAAGGGGCAAUCGGAAUUCUCGGUGUAGCGGUGAAAUGCGUAGAUAUCAGGAGGAACACCUGCGGUGUAGACGGCUUACUGGACCAUAACUGACGCUGAGGCACGAAAGCGUGGGUAGCAAACAGG